This 466-nucleotide ribosomal RNA is filed under the name Abiotrophia defectiva. RNAcentral describes it as "bacterial SSU rRNA". It matches the Rfam family "Bacterial small subunit ribosomal RNA", at positions 28 to 471 of the family's 1533-position model. Lineage: Bacteria; Bacillati; Bacillota; Bacilli; Lactobacillales; Aerococcaceae. The record is from RNAcentral.
GACGAACGCUGGCGGCGUGCCUAAUACAUGCAAGUCGAACGAACCGCGACUAGGUGCUUGCACUUGGUCAAGGUGAGUGGCGAACGGGUGAGUAACACGUGGGUAACCUACCUCAUAGUGGGGGAUAACAGUCGGAAACGACUGCUAAUACCGCAUAGGACAUGGGAUCACAUGAUUCUGUGAGGAAAGGUGGCGCAAGCUAUCGCUAAGAGAUGGACCCGCGGUGCAUUAGCUAGUUGGUAGGGUAACGGCCUACCAAGGCAAUGAUGCAUAGCCGACCUGAGAGGGCGAUCGGCCACAUUGGGACUGAGACACGGCCCAAACUCCUACGGGAGGCAGCAGUAGGGAAUCUUCCGCAAUGGACGCAAGUCUGACGGAGCAACGCCGCGUGAGUGAAGAAGGUCUUCGGAUCGUAAAGCUCUGUUGUUAGAGAAGAACAGCGCAUAGAGUAACUGAUAUGCGUGUG